GACGAACGCUGGCGGCGUGCCUAAUACAUGCAAGUUGAGCGCUGAAGGUUGGUACUUGUACCAACUGGAUGAGCAGCGAACGGGUGAGUAACGCGUGGGGAAUCUGCCUUUGAGCGGGGGACAACAUUUGGAAACGAAUGCUAAUACCGCAUAAAAACUUUAAACACAAGUUUUAAGUUUGAAAGAUGCAAUUGCAUCACUCAAAGAUGAUCCCGCGUUGUAUUAGCUAGUUGGUGAGGUAAAGGCUCACCAAGGCGAUGAUACAUAGCCGACCUGAGAGGGUGAGCGGCCACAUUGGGACUGAGACACGGCCCAAACUCCUACGGGAGGCAGCAGUAGGGAAUCUUCGGCAAUGGACGAAAGUCUGACCGGGCAACGCCGCGUGAGUGAAGAAGGUUUUCGGAUCGUAAAACUCUGUUGGUAGAGAAGAACGUUGGUGAGAGUGGAAAGCUCAUCAAGUGACGGUAACUACCCAGAAAGGGACGGCUAACUACGUG
This 497-nucleotide ribosomal RNA is filed under the name uncultured bacterium. Its description in RNAcentral is "partial 16S ribosomal RNA". It matches the Rfam family "Bacterial small subunit ribosomal RNA", at positions 28 to 507 of the family's 1533-position model. The record is from RNAcentral.